GCAUGCGUAGCUCAGCUGGAUAGAGCAAUCCCCUCCUAAGGGAUAGGUCGCAGGUUCAAAUCCUGCCGCGUGCGCCA
RNAcentral lists this transfer RNA (77 nucleotides) under Pseudomonas sp. FeN3W. Its description in RNAcentral is "tRNA-Arg". It matches the Rfam family "tRNA". Rfam says of the family: Transfer RNA (tRNA) molecules are approximately 80 nucleotides in length. Their secondary structure includes four short double-helical elements and three loops (D, anti-codon, and T loops). The record is from RNAcentral. Lineage: Bacteria; Pseudomonadati; Pseudomonadota; Gammaproteobacteria; Pseudomonadales; Pseudomonadaceae.